UACGGAAGGCAGCAGGGGGAAUAUUGCACAAUGGGCGCAAGCCUGAUGCAGCCAUGCCGCGUGUAUGAAGAAGGCCUUCGGGUUGUAAAGUACUUUCAGUCGUGAGGAAGGUGUUAAGGUUAAUAACCUUAGCAAUUGACGUUAGCGACAGAAGAAGCACCGGCUAACUCCGUGCCAGCAGCCGCGGUAAUACGGAGGGUGCGAGCGUUAAUCGGAAUUACUGGGCGUAAAGGGCACGCAGGCGGUUAAUUAAGUUGGAUGUGAAUCCCCGGGCUUAACCUGGGAAUGGCAUUCAAGACUGGUUAGCUAGAGUCUUGUAGAGGGGGUAGAAUUCCAUGUGUAGCGGUGAAAUGCGUAGAGAUGUGGAGGAAUACCGGUGGCGAAGGCGGCCCCUGGACAAAGACUGACGCUCAUGUGCGAAAGCGUGGGGAGCAAACAGGGAUUAGAUACC
This 451-nucleotide ribosomal RNA is filed under the name uncultured bacterium. Its description in RNAcentral is "bacterial SSU rRNA". It matches the Rfam family "Bacterial small subunit ribosomal RNA", at positions 340 to 786 of the family's 1533-position model. The record is from RNAcentral.